This is a long non-coding RNA of Mesocricetus auratus (golden hamster), 585 nucleotides long. RefSeq lists it as uncharacterized. The record is from RefSeq and is a predicted model, not a curated record. The transcript has 6 exons. NCBI's taxonomy places the organism in Eukaryota, Metazoa, Chordata, Mammalia, Rodentia, Cricetidae.
CGAGGAGGACGAGGAGGAGGAGGAAUGAUUCUGCGGGCAGUCUGCCAGAUUGGCAAUUUGAAACGCACUGUCUGUGACGGCUGCUGAGGCUGCUGCGGGGGAGUGAAGGGCUGUCAUGACGAUGACCCCUGGAGUUGGUCCUGUGUGUUAGGAGCAUAAGGUCAAUUUUAUGAAGGACACCAUCACCUCUCUACAUUGCAGCUGAAUGCACUCAAGUAUUCAAUGGAUUGAUGUAUCUCAAUGAAAACAUGAAAAAGAAAACAGAUUUGAGGAGGAAGUGUGAAUCCAACUAUUAUGUAUGUGUGAGAUAUGGAGGAGGAAGAAGACACAGCCAAGGAGAUGAUCUGUUUAAGCAAGAUUGCUUCCAGAGAAGUUCCUGCAGUACUCAGCAUGACUUGUGCCCAGGACUUUAAAGGCUUCACUGUGGUGCUGAAUGCAGAUCCCUGGUACUGGAACAGGGUAAUAUAUGCUUAGCAAAGAAACUUUGAGAAACACACGAAGACCACUUGAAAAACCCAACCAGAGGGAGCCCUGUCACAUUCAGAGAGCCUUCAUCUGAUAGCUGAUGGAAGCCGAAGCAGAGAC